Molecule: ribosomal RNA, 309 nt
Filed under: Triticum aestivum (bread wheat)
Lineage: Eukaryota; Viridiplantae; Streptophyta; Magnoliopsida; Poales; Poaceae
Description: partial small subunit ribosomal RNA
Source: RNAcentral
AUGUGUGCUUCAAAACGGAGCGGAGGCAUGGGGUUUAGAGACCCGGAGGCUUUCAAUCAGGCACUCCUUGCCAAACAAGCAUGACGAAUCUUGCAGUACCCAUCAUCUUUGUGUGCAAGAGUUCUGAAGGCAAAAUAUUUCAAGGAUGACUCCAUAUUGACAGCCUCGUGUCCGGCGGCGUCAUCCUUCACUUUCAGGAGCAUUUUGCAUGGACGAGAUCUAUUACGUGAAGGAUUAGUGUGGCGCAUUGGAGAUGGCUCAAGUAUUAAUAUUCACCAUGAAAACUGGAUUCCCAGGAGUGGUCCUUGA